RNAcentral lists this long non-coding RNA (5253 nucleotides) under Triticum aestivum (bread wheat). RNAcentral describes it as "long non-coding RNA (TAES_LNC021625)". Lineage: Eukaryota; Viridiplantae; Streptophyta; Magnoliopsida; Poales; Poaceae. The record is from RNAcentral.
UUUGCGUAAUAUAAUAGAGAAAACUAAGCAACCCGUUUGGAUCUUUUCGUUUUGGUUGUCAAGCUUUCGAUGAUUCUGUUGUUCCUUUAUUAGAAGAUAGUGAGACCAAGCUAUUCCUAGCCGCAUUGUAAAAAAUAUAUAUCUUUGGAUAUACACCCUAAAACUGUAAUUUCCAACUCACCAGAGAUUACCGACUAGGCCAAAAAUCCACUGCCGCCACUACACAUCCAUGCCCUUUGCCUCAAGCCGUUGUCCGGAGCAACACCGUCAAUGCUGCAUCGGCCCCAAUAUGUGCUGCCCCAAGAUUCAGGUGCAAUGGCCCAGAGUACCAUGCCUGCGAGACGGGCCGCACACCACCGUCUCCCCCGCAUCACUAGGUGUUAAACAUGCAGUUGUGAUUUAGAAAGUUGUUAGUAUCUUGUAUAUCUCCUGUAACAACUCAUGUAUAUCCGGCUAGGCCUUUGUGCCCUAGCUCACGUAUAUAUAAACCCUCGGAGGGUACCGUUUGGAGUGCGCCGAUCCAAUCUACCUUUCCCUCAGUUUUCACAUGGUAUCAGAGCCUCUCGCUUAACAGCACGAUGGGUUCCCCUACUGCCUCCGCCUCCUCCUCCGCAGCCCUAACCACCCUCUCGCUGCCAGCAUCCUUUGGCAGCCCGCCUGCUUCCUCCGUGCCUCCCCCUUCCGCUAGCCUGAUCACCGCCAAGCUCACCUCCUCCAAGUUUCUCUCCUGGAAAGCCCAGAUCCUCCCCCCCUUCACAUCACCAAUGCCACUGGCUAUGUCGAUGGCACCGAGCUCCCUCCCGAUCGGCUGCUUCCCGCCGAUGACAAGGGCAUCCGUGCUCCCAAUCCAGAGUACGCCACCUGGUUCCGUCAGGACCAGAUCGUCCUCAGCUACUUGCUCGCCUCCCUCAUCGACGAAAUUCUUCAACAGGUGCACAGGUUUGACACAUCUCGUGCCAUCUGGGAGCAUCUCGAGGAGAUGUACCAGACCCAUUGUCGUGCCAAUAUUGUGCAGAUUAAGCUGGACAUGGCGAUCUUCAGGAAGGAAAACCUCUCCAUGGCGGACUACUUCGCCAAGAUCCGCGCCAACACUGACCAGCUUGCUGCUGUCGGCCGCGCCAUGCGUGAUGAGGACAUCAUCACCGACGUCAUCAAUGGCCUCGACAGCGAGUACGAGCCCCUCAUCACCGCUGCCACAACCCGCCUCGACGUCAUGACGCUCGGGGAGUUCUACUCUCAUGCCAUUGCCUUUGAGCGCCGGCGUGAGUACAACGCUGCACGCUUUCGUCUCCAAACUAGCGGCUCCUCCCUCAACUAUGUCACUCGCGACAACAACAACCCUCCCCGCGGCAGCAACAACAACAACCGCGGCAAGGGCAACUACCGCGGCAAGGGCCGCGACAACUACGGCGACCACGGCGGCUACAACAACAAUGCCCGUGGUGGUGACCGCGGCAACCGUGGCGGCGCUGGCAACCGCCAGCAGAACGACUAUGGUGGCAACCGUGGUGGUGACCGCGGUGACCACGCUGGUGGUGGUGACAAGCGCGUUCAGUGCCAGCUCUGCCGCGGCCCCGGGCAUUUUGCUUGGGAGUGUGGCCAGCGCUACAACCACGUGUCCCAGUCUCCCCACUCCAAGAUGGCAGGCCUUGCUGCUGCUUCUCCUUCGUCCAUCCUUGGCGAUCCCGCCUGGUUCACGGAUACGGGGGCUACAGACCACAUCACCACUGACCUGUAUCGUCUCACCGUGAGGGAGAAAUAUCCAGGGCGCGACCGCAUCCAUACGGCUGAUGGAUCAGGUUUGCAAAUAGCUCAUCGUGGUCAUGCAAUUCUUCCUACACCCUCCGCCAAUCAUAAGAUUCACAAUAUCCUUCAUGUUCCUAAUGCAGACAAGAAUCUUAUCUCUGUUAAUCAUCUUGCUGUUGAUAAUCAUGCUUAUCUAAAAUACUAUCCUACUCAUUUUCUUAUGAAGGAUUUGACUACCAAGAGGGUACUUCUUCAAGGCAGAUGUGAUAAUGGGCUUUACCCCGUCCGGCCAUCUCGAGCUCGUGCCUUGUCCUCGGUUCGGCUCUCUGCUAAAGAUUGGCACGCUAGGCUUAGCCAUCCGUCGUCUCAAGUCGUCCAGCAUGUUUUGGCUUCCAAUAAACUCGUGUCAUCUAGUCGGUCAUUGACCAACAUUUGCAAUGCAUGUCAGCAAGGCAAAGCACACCAACUUCCCUUUCCUAGGCCAUCGAGUGUUUCAUCUUUUCCUUUGGAAUUAGUUUUUUCAGAUGUGUGGGGGCCCGCUAAGACUUCAUCUAGUGGGUUCCAGUACUAUGUGUCAUUCAUUGAUGAUUAUAGUAAAUUUUUUUGGAUUUACCUUCUCAAACGAAAGUGUGAUGCGUUUGAUGUUUUUCGUGAUUUUCUUGCUCAUGUUGAACGCCUUCUUUCUCGUAAAAUUCUCUGCGUUCAAUCGGACUGGGGCGGUGAAUACGAAAAACUUAGCAACACAUUCUUUAAUCAACUUGGUAUUGCACAUCAUGUGUCGUGCCCACACACGCAUCAACAGAAAGGCUCCGCCGAAAGAAAACACCGUCACAUUGUUGACAUGGGCUUGUCACUUUUAUCACAUGCAUCCAUGCCAUUGCGGUUUUGGGAUGAAGCCUACCUAACCGCUUGCUAUCUUAUCAACAGACUUCCGAGCCGUGUUAUAGGAAAUGUUAGUCCCAUGGAAAAGCUGUUUCAUCACAAACCAAACUAUGUGUCUCUUCGAACCUUCGGGUGCGCAUGUUGACCAAACUUACGUCCGUACAACACACACAAACUCUCCUUUCGCUCUCAACAAUGUGUGUUCAUAGGGUAUAGCAUCCGUCACAAAGGCUAUAAAUGCCUUCAUGUACCCACAGCUCGCAUCUAUAUUUCACGUGAGAUGUUGUGUUUGACAAGAAAUUUUUUCCGUUUGCUCAACCCCAAACCGCUCCCAUACCACCUCGUGUUGCAGAACAUGCCAUCCUCCUUUUUCCGCAUGACCACAUGAAUUAUUGCACUUCUGUUUCGGAUGCUAAUUUGGAUGCAGGAUCCCAUGUGCCACAAACGAUCCCAGGCGCGGCUUCCCCAGGAUCCCAUGCAGAUUCUGGCGCUGAUCCCGGAGCUGAUUCGCUCUCGGAUCCCGUGCCUGCAGACAACAACAACGCGCCCUCUCCUUCAACAUGCGACAGCGAUGCGCCCGCCUCUCCAUUGGACCAGGUGCCCGGCACGGGUGGGCCACCUGCCCCACCCGCCUCUACGCGGCGCUCGUCCUCACCUGCAGUGGGGCCUACCACCGGGCCGGUUCCCGCUGCGCCCGACACACCAGCCGUGACCGUCCGUGUGGCGCCCAUACCUGCUGCGGGGGAAACCGGUGUGGGCCCGUCCCCGGUUGUGGGCGCGGAUUCCUCCCCUGACGAGCAGCUCACGAGAUCCUAGGUGGAGCCGCCUGCUGCUGCACGCUGGAUCUUCUGCGGCUGCCGGACCCUCUGUUCCACUGGGGCAUGCCAUGGUGACUCGGACCCGCGAUCAUACGCGCCAUGUCAAGCAACACACUGAUGGCACCAUCGUCUACAACCCGUCCAAACGUGCCUUCCUCACUGUACGUGAACCUGCGGAUUACCGUGAGGCGCUCCGGUCCCCAAGUUGGUACCAAGCCAUGCAAGCUGAACUUGAUGCGCUUCGCCACAAUGGCACUUGGACUCUUGUUGCUCCGCCACCCAAUGUCAACAUCAUUGACUGCAAAUGGGUUUUUAAGGUCAAGCACAAAGCAGAUGGCUCGGUUGAUCGUCUCAAAGCUCGUCUUGUUGCGAAGGGGUUCAAGCAACGACAUGGUUUGGACUAUGAUGACACGUUCAGUCCGGUUGUCAAACCUGUUACCGUGCGUCUCGUGCUUUCUAUUGCAGUCUCCCGUGGGUGGUGCUUGCGGUAGUUGGACGUCCAAAAUGCCUUUCUUCAUGGCUUCGAAGAUCCUUCUACUCCUCGGUAUCUAUGCAAGCUUCAGAAAGCCCUUUAUGGUCUUAAACAAGCUCCUCGGGCUUGGUACUCUCGGUUGAGCUCUCGUCUUCAACAACUUGGUUUUCUGCCAUCCGAGGCUGACACAUCACCUUUUGUCUUGAACCGGAGAGGGGUCACCAUUUUCAUGCUCGUGUACGUUGAUGAUAUCAUUGUGGCCAGCUCCUCUCCCAUUGCUACCACCAAGCUACUAGGUGAGCUUCAGGCUUCAUUUUCUCUCAAAGACCUUGGUCCGUUGCAUUAUUUUCUUGGAGUUGAGGUGACGUCAUCGCCAAGGGGGCUUGUUCUGUCACAGCAGAAAUAUAUUGGCGAUAUCCUUCAUCGGGCAAACAUGGAAAAUUGCAAGAUCUCCACCACGUGUAUGUCUUCCAGUGAGAAGAUCAGUAAGGAGAGUGGUACGCUUCUUGGACAGGAUGACAACACUAAUUAUCGGAGUUUAGUUGGGGCUCUUCAGUACCUAACACUCAUGAGGCCAGACAUCUCCUUUGCGGUGAAUCAAGUCUGCCAAUUCUUGCAUGCACCAACCACGGUAAAUUUUUCAGCAGCCAAACACAUUCUGCGGUAUAUGAAGUAUACACGAGGUAUGGGACUGUCUAUACGAAAGUCUCCCUCCAUGCUACCGAGCUGUUUCUCAGAUGCAGACUGGGCAGGAUGCAGUGACGAUCGCAGGUCCACAGGGGGCUUUGCUGUGUUUCUUGGACCCAACCUGGUUUCUUGGAGCUCAAGGAAGCAAGCCACCGUUUCACGAUCAAGUACCGAAUCUGAAUACAAGGCCUUGGCAAAUGGAAAAGCGGAGCUAAUUUGGAUACAAUCUGUUCUUGGAGAGCUUGGAGUCUUUAUGUCUCGUCCUCCAGUUUUGUGGUGUGAUAAUCUGGGAGCUACCUAUUUGUCAGCAAACCCCGUGUUUCAUGCGAGAACAAAACACAUAGAAGUGGAUUUCCACUUUGUUCGGGAGAGAGCUGCGGCAAAAGCUCUUGACGUUCGAUUCAUCUCGUCUAAAGAACAGGUUGCAGAUAUAUUUACCAAGCCACUGGCUGAGGCGCCUUUUGUAUCGAAUAGAUGCAAUCUUAAUCUUCUAGUACAAAGUUAAGAUUGAGAGGGGAUGUCAAACAUGUAGUUGUGAUCUAGGAAGUUGUUAGUAUCUUGUAUAUCUCCUGUAACAACUCAUGUAUAUCCGGCUAGGCCUUUGUGCCCUAGCUCACGUAUAUAUAAACCCUCGGAGGGCACUGUUUG